This 363-nucleotide unclassified non-coding RNA is filed under the name uncultured bacterium. Its description in RNAcentral is "contains 16S-23S intergenic spacer region". The record is from RNAcentral.
UCUGCGUUUUGCGCAGCGGUCCCGCUAGAAAGAUGCAACUAGCGGCGAGGGUUGCGCUCGUUGCGGGACUUAACCCAACACCUCACGGCACGAGCUGACGACAGCCAUGCAGCACCUGUGCACGGGUCCCGAAGGAGGGCCGCAUCUCUGCGGCUUGCCCGUGCAUGUCAAACCCCGGUAAGGUUCUGCGCGUUGCAUCGAAUUAAACCACACGCUCCGCUGCUUGUGCGGGCCCCCGUCAAUUCCUUUGAGUUUCAGCCUUGCGGCCGUACUCCCCAGGCGGGAGACUUAACGCGUUAGCUCCGACACCGAAGGGCUCGAUCCCCCCGGCAUCUAGUCUCCAUCGUUUACGGCGUGGACUAC